Molecule: ribosomal RNA, 424 nt
Filed under: uncultured prokaryote
Description: bacterial SSU rRNA
Rfam family: Bacterial small subunit ribosomal RNA
Source: RNAcentral
UGGGGAAUCUUAGACAAUGGGGGAAACCCUGAUCUAGCCAUGCCGCGUGAGUGACGAAGGCCCUAGGGUCGUAAAGCUCUUUCGCCAGGGAAGAUAAUGACGGUACCUGGUAAAGAAACCCCGGCUAACUCCGUGCCAGCAGCCGCGGUAAUACGGAGGGGGUUAGCGUUGUUCGGAAUUACUGGGCGUAAAGCGCACGCAGGUGGUAACGCAAGUGGGGUGUGAAAGCCGCCAGCUCAACUGGCGGAGGCCAUCCCAAACUGCGUCACUUGAGGCCUGUAGAGGUAUGUGGAAUUGCCGGUGUAGUGGUGAAAUGCGUAGAGAUCGGCAGGAACACCCAGGGGGAAGCCAGCAUACUGGACAGGUCCUGACACUCAGGUGCGACAGCGUGGGGAGCGAACCGGAUUAGAUACCCGUGUAGUCC